RNAcentral lists this ribosomal RNA (471 nucleotides) under uncultured bacterium. Its description in RNAcentral is "bacterial SSU rRNA". It matches the Rfam family "Bacterial small subunit ribosomal RNA", at positions 8 to 526 of the family's 1533-position model. The record is from RNAcentral.
AGGGUUUGAUCAUGGCUCAGGAUGAACGCUGGCGGCGUGCUUAACACAUGCAAGUCGAACGAACCUUCGGGUUAGUGGCGGACGGGUGAGUAACGCGUGAGAAUCUGCCCUCAGGAGGGGGAUAACGGUUGGAAACGACCGCUAAUACCCCAUAUGCCUAUUGGUGAAAUGAAUUUCGCCUGAGGAUGAGCUCGCGUCUGAUUAGCUUGUUGGUGAGGUAAUGGCUCACCAAGGCUUCGAUCAGUAGCUGGUCUGAGAGGAUGAUCAGCCACACUGGGACUGAGACACGGCCCAGACUCCUACGGGAGGCAGCAGUGGGGAAUUUUCCGCAAUGGGCGAAAGCCUGACGGAGCAACGCCGCGUGAGGGACGAAGGCCUCUGGGCUGUAAACCUCUUUUCUCAAGGAAGAAGAUAUGACGGUACUUGAGGAAUAAGCCACGGCUAAUUCCGUGCCAGCCGCCGCGGUAAUAC